UUUGAAAUCUGGCGUCUUUGGCGUCCGAGUUGUAAUUUGAAGAAGGUAUCUUUGGGCCCGGCUCUUGUCUAUGUUCCUUGGAACAGGACGUCACAGAGGGUGAGAAUCCCGUGCGAUGAGAUGACCCGGGUCUGUGUAAAGUUCCUUCGACGAGUCGAGUUGUUUGGGAAUGCAGCUCUAAGUGGGUGGUAAAUUCCAUCUAAAGCUAAAUAUUGGCGAGAGACCGAUAGCGAACAAGUACAGUGAUGGAAAGAUGAAAAGAACUUUGAAAAGAGAGUGAAAAAGUACGUGAAAUUGUUGAAAGGGAAGGGCUUGAGAUCAGACUUGGUAUUUUGCAUGCUGCUCUCUCGGGGGCGGCCGCUGCGGUUUACCGGGCCAGCAUCGGUUUGGAGCGGCAGGAUAAUGGCGGAGGAAUGUGGCACGGCUUCUGCUGUGUGUUAUAGCCUCUGACGAUACUGCCAGCCUAGACCGAGGACUGCGGUUUUUACCUAGGAUGUUGGCAUAAUGAUCUUAAGUCGCCCGUCUUGAAACACGGACCAAGGAGUCUAACGUCUAUGCGAGUGUUUGGGUGUAAAACCCGUACGCGUAAUGAAAGUGAACGAAGGUGGGGGCCCAUUAGGGUGCACCAUCGACCGAUCCUGAUGUGUUCGGAUGGAUUUGAGUAAGAGCAUAGCUGUUGGGACCCGAAAGAUGGUGAACUAUGCCUGAAUAGGGUGAAGCCAGAGGAAACUCUGGUGGAGGCUCGUAGCGGUUCUGACGU
RNAcentral lists this ribosomal RNA (760 nucleotides) under Candida albicans. RNAcentral's name for it is "eukaryotic LSU rRNA". It matches the Rfam family "Eukaryotic large subunit ribosomal RNA", at positions 114 to 892 of the family's 3401-position model. Lineage: Eukaryota; Fungi; Ascomycota; Pichiomycetes; Serinales; Debaryomycetaceae. The record is from RNAcentral.